AUUGAACGCUGGCGGAAUGCUUUACACAUGCAAGUCGAACGGUAAAGGGGGCAACCCCUCGAGAGUGGCGAACGGGUGAGUAAUAUAUCGGAACGUGCCCAGUCGUGGGGGAUAACGUAGCGAAAGUUACGCUAAUACCGCAUACGAUCUAAGGAUGAAAGCGGGGGAUCGCAAGGCCUCGCGCGAUUGGAGCGGCCGAUAUCAGAUUAGGUAGGUGGUGGGGUAAAGGCUCACCAAGCCAACGAUCUGUAGCUGGUCUGAGAGGACGACCAGCCACACUGGAACUGAGACACGGUCCAGACUCCUACGGGAGGCAGCAGUGGGGAAUUUUGGACAAUGGACGCAAGUCUGAUCCAGCCAUUCCGCGUGCAGGAUGAAGGCCCUCGGGUUGUAAACUGCUUUUGUACGGAACGAAAAGGUCUCUCUUAAUACGGGGGACUCAUGACGGUACCGUAAGAAUAAGCACCGGCUAACUACGUGCCAGCCGCCGCCGUAA
This 496-nucleotide ribosomal RNA is filed under the name uncultured bacterium. Its description in RNAcentral is "partial 16S ribosomal RNA". It matches the Rfam family "Bacterial small subunit ribosomal RNA", at positions 30 to 523 of the family's 1533-position model. The record is from RNAcentral.